UACGGGGGGGGGCAAGCGUUGUUCGGAAUUACUGGGCGUAAAGGGCUCGUAGGCGGCCCGCUAAGUCGAACGUGAAAUCCCCGAGCUCAACUCGGGAACUGCGUCCGAUACUGGCGGGCUUGAAUCCGGGAGAGGGAUGCGGAAUUCCAGGUGUAGCGGUGAAAUGCGUAGAUAUCUGGAGGAACACCGGUGGCGAAGGCGGCAUCCUGGACCGGCAUUGACGCUGAGGAGCGAAAGCUAGGGGAGCAAAACGGG
This 255-nucleotide ribosomal RNA is filed under the name uncultured bacterium. RNAcentral describes it as "partial 16S ribosomal RNA". It matches the Rfam family "Bacterial small subunit ribosomal RNA", at positions 524 to 777 of the family's 1533-position model. The record is from RNAcentral.